GACGUAGGGCGCGAGCGUUGUCCGGAUUUAUUGGGCGUAAAGAGCUCGUAGGCGGCUUGUUGCGUCGACUGUGAAAACCCGCGGCUUAACUGCGGGCUUGCAGUUGAUACGGGCAGGCUAGAGUUCGGUAGGGGAGACUGGAAUUCCUGGUGUAGCGGUGAAAUGCGCAGAUAUCAGGAGGAACACCGGUGGCGAAGGCGGGUCUCUGGGCCGAUACUGACGCUGAGGAGCGAAAGCGUGGGGAGCGAACGGG
Molecule: ribosomal RNA, 253 nt
Filed under: uncultured bacterium
Lineage: Bacteria
Description: partial 16S ribosomal RNA
Rfam family: Bacterial small subunit ribosomal RNA
Source: RNAcentral